CCUACGGGGGGCAGCAGUGAGGAAUAUUGGUCAAUGGCCGAGAGGCUGAACAAGCCAAGUCGCGUGAGGGAAGACGGCCCUACGGGUUGUAAACCUCUUUUGUCGGGGAGCAAAGCGAGUCACGGGUGACUCGUUGAGAGUAACCGAAGAAAAAGCAUCGGCUAACUCCGUGCCAGCAGCCGCGGUAAUACGGAGGAUGCGAGCGUUAUCCGGAUUUCUUGGGUUUAAAGGGUGCGCAGGCGGAGGUGCAAGUCCGCGGUCAAAUUGCGGGGCUCAACCCCGUACUGCCGUUGAAACUGCAUCCCUUGAGUGCGCGAGAAGUAUGCGGAAUGCGUGGUGUAGCGGUGAAAUGCAUAGAUAUCACGCAGAACUCCGAUUGCGAAGGCAGCAUACCGGCGCGCAACUGACGCUCAUGCACGAAAGCGUGGGUAUCGAACAGGAUUAGAUACCCUGGUAGUC
This 459-nucleotide ribosomal RNA is filed under the name uncultured bacterium. RNAcentral's name for it is "partial 16S ribosomal RNA". It matches the Rfam family "Bacterial small subunit ribosomal RNA", at positions 338 to 795 of the family's 1533-position model. The record is from RNAcentral.